Molecule: long non-coding RNA, 1312 nt
Organism: Rhodamnia argentea
Lineage: Eukaryota; Viridiplantae; Streptophyta; Magnoliopsida; Myrtales; Myrtaceae
Exons: 2
Source: RefSeq, a predicted model, not a curated record
UAGGCAUAUCGCGACCUUAUUGAUUGGCGCUUGGGCCUUGUGCAACCUUGCUGGUCGGCGCCCGGCCCUCGCGUGACCCCGUUGGUCGGAGCCUAGGUCUCGUGCAACUUGCCCGGAUGCACCUUUGCCUCUCGCGACCUUGCUAAUUAUCUAGUCGCGCCUCUUGCGAUCUUACUAGUUGUCCCUUGGCUUUUGUGCGACAUUGCUGGUCAUGCCCCUACCGAUUCUUACAUGUCCGGCCAGCCUAAGGUGUGAUGAAGGAAAUCAUGGAGGACAUAAUGGCUAUGGUGGCCAUGGUGGUGGCCAAGGCAUUGGAACAAGAAGAGGCCAAGGUCCGUGACUGUCUUAUGGACAAUCCCUCAUUUCUAUUGAUAGCUUAGGGAUUGUUUGAACUUGUCAUUACUGUGGCAAACCUGGUCAUAUUCAGAAAUUUUGCUACAAGUUACAUGGAGACCAAGGAAAUAACAAUAGUUUGCAAAUGUCGUAUCUAGCACCGACUCUUCGUCUGUCAUAGUCUUCCGAAGGCAAGGUAGUGAUUAUGUCCGAUAAGGAAUUUGCUCGGUAUCACCGGUUUCAGAUUUCACAGCCUACUUCUUCUACUACUACUUUAGUACGGACAUGUAAUGCUACUACAUGCAUAUCAGCUGCUUCUUGCCCUUGGAUCAUUGAUUUAGGGUCCUUUGAUCAUAUAUCCGGUCUUUUAGGUAUAUUUCCCUCUCACUCCAUUACCAUCCAUUGAUACCCUCGCUAAUUUAAGGGGGUUAGCGUAAUUCAUCCAAAUCCUUCUUUGUCAUUGUCGUCGGUGAUUUGUCUUCCUCAAUUUCCAUUUAACCUCAUGUCUAUUAAUAAAUUAACCAACAAAUUUUAGUGUUCAGUGACAUUCUAUCCCGGUUUUUGUAUUUUCAAGAAUCUGACUAUGAAGAGGACAAUUGGUAAAGGACAUGAUGUGGGGGGACCGUAUGUGCUUGAAGAUGCUCCUUCCAUUGCAUGCCCUAGUACUCGCUUCCCUACAUCGAUUCAUUAUUGUCUUGGCCAUCCUUAGCUACAUAGUCUUCAGAAGUUAGAUUCUAGUUUUUAGUCUCUUUCUAGCUAGAGUGUAAGUCAUGUCAACUUGGCAAAUUGCAUCGUGUCGGUUACUUGCCUUGAGUCAUUAAAUGAGUAGUUUCUCCUUUUUCAUUUGUUCAUUCGGAUAUAUGGGGUCCUUGUAAUGUGGUUUCCAAUUUGGAUUUUAAAUACUUUGUUACUUUUGUUGACGACUAUUCCAGAGUCACUUGGCUAUACUUAAUGAAAAGGUGUUCAAAAUUGUUUUCUA